This 1217-nucleotide long non-coding RNA is filed under the name Manacus vitellinus (golden-collared manakin). RNAcentral describes it as "lncRNA (ENSMVIG00005001680.1)". The record is from RNAcentral. Lineage: Eukaryota; Metazoa; Chordata; Aves; Passeriformes; Pipridae.
AGCACGAGUGUUCCUUUGCCUUCCAUUCCUUCCAUUCCAGAUGUCUUGGCCAGGAGCAGCCUUACAGCACUUGGCCUGGCAGCUGAUUUCUUUUUGUCUGGAGAAAGAUAAUAAGAGAUAAUGGAUGCUAAACACUGCAUUUAAUGUCCCAACAGGAAGAAGACUAAGGGAGGAGCCUGGUGAGCCUGACCUGGGACCACAGAGGAUCUCAGAGAACAUCCAGCACCGCUGGAACUGAGCACCCAGGGCAGUGAGAUGGACUCUUCCCCACCUCAUGGGGUUGUGUUUCCUGCUCCUGGCUGUUGCAGCUCCCUGUCCAACAAGCAAAUAUUUUCCUGAAGGAAUUUCUACCUUAAAACGGUGGGAGCGAGAUACUUGUGUGGCAUCCUGAAUUCUGCAGCUUUCUCAGCAAAUGGGAGAGGUAGCAUCAGUCCUGAGGAGAAUAAAAUUUGCUGUGAAGCAGAAACAAUCCUACGCUGAAGUGCCACAUUGAAAUGUCAGAUGCAGAAACUGGAAAACCAACAACUGGCAUCCUUGGUAAUCCUGAAUUUCCCACCAGGAAUGAGGGCAUGAUCUCCCUCACAUUCCUACUGUGCAUUGUGGUUUGGGCAGGAAUGGUCUCUGUGUAUUCCUAUUGCUGGCAUUGGAUUAGUCAAGCUCUUAGGGAAUACAGACAAGCUUCAGAAGAAAAAAACCUCAACCAUGUUUGAAGACCAUCUACAAAUAGGAAGACCUCUAUGCCAGCAGCAUCUUCCUCUGUCCUGAUGUACAGCAACCAGCUGAAGCAACAGAGGUUGAUUUCCAUGAGACCUCAUGGUCCCAUAUUCACAAAUGGUCUUUUUUUCACAAAUGCACCUUCACCACAUCCACAUGUUCACCACGGACUGUGAUUGCCACAGUUGUCCAGCUCCAGGCCUUCAUGAGCAGCAUGAGCAGCACCCUGGAUCUCCCAUCCUCUGGUGGUGCUUGGCUGAGGACAGCAGCUAUCACAAGGUGUGUGGCUGACUCAGCAGCACAGCCUUAAACCUACUGAAUUGUCUCCAGCUGUGUACUCUGCUUUCUGGAGAUGUCUAUAGGCUUCGUCCUCAGCAAGUGCUUUGUGUUUUGCACUAUGCAUAGAUAGGCAAAUAUUUUUAUUCACAGAAAUAUGGAAUGGGUUGGGUUGGAAGAUCAUCUGACAAAAUAAAAAAAGGACUAAGAGUACUAAGAUGCCUAAC